Molecule: ribosomal RNA, 854 nt
Filed under: actinobacterium CP38
Lineage: Bacteria; Bacillati; Actinomycetota; Actinomycetes
Description: bacterial SSU rRNA
Rfam family: Bacterial small subunit ribosomal RNA
Source: RNAcentral
CAUGCAAGUCGAACGAUGAAGCCCAGCUUGCUGGGUGGAUUAGUGGCGAACGGGUGAGUAACACGUGGGUGAUCUGCCCUGCACUUCGGGAUAAGCCUGGGAAACUGGGUCUAAUACCGGAUAGGACCUUCUGCCGCAUGGUGGGGGGUGGAAAGGUUUUCCGGUGCAGGAUGGGCCCGCGGCCUAUCAGCUUGUUGGUGGGGUAACGGCCCACCAAGGCGACGACGGGUAGCCGGCCUGAGAGGGCGACCGGCCACACUGGGACUGAGACACGGCCCAGACUCCUACGGGAGGCAGCAGUGGGGAAUAUUGCACAAUGGGCGCAAGCCUGAUGCAGCGACGCCGCGUGAGGGAUGACGGCCUUCGGGUUGUAAACCUCUUUCAGUACCGACGAAGCGCAAGUGACGGUAGGUACAGAAGAAGCACCGGCCAACUACGUGCCAGCAGCCGCGGUAAUACGUAGGGUGCGAGCGUUGUCCGGAAUUACUGGGCGUAAAGAGCUCGUAGGCGGUUUGUCGCGUCGUCUGUGAAAACCCGCAGCUCAACUGCGGGCUUGCAGGCGAUACGGGCAGACUUGAGUACUGCAGGGGAGACUGGAAUUCCUGGUGUAGCGGUGAAAUGCGCAGAUAUCAGGAGGAACACCGGUGGCGAAGGCGGGUCUCUGGGCAGUAACUGACGCUGAGGAGCGAAAGCGUGGGUAGCGAACAGGAUUAGAUACCCUGGUAGUCCACGCCGUAAACGGUGGGCGCUAGGUGUGGGUUUCCUUCCACGGGAUCCGUGCCGUAGCUAACGCAUUAAGCGCCCCGCCUGGGGAGUACGGCCGCAAGGCUAAAACUCAAAGGAAUUGACGGGGG